UACGUAGGCAGCAAGCGUUGUUCGGAAUUACUGGGCGUAAAGAGUGUGUAGGCGGUGCUCCAAGUCUGGUGUGAAAUCUCCCGGCUUAACUGGGAGGGUGCAUUAGAAACUGGAAUGCUAGAGGAUGGAGAGGUAAGCGGAAUUCCUGGUGUAGCGGUGAAAUGCGUAGAUAUCAGGAGGAACACCUGUGGUGUAGACAGCUUACUGGACCAUUUCUGACGCUGAGACACGAAAGCGUGGGUAGCAAACAGG
RNAcentral lists this ribosomal RNA (252 nucleotides) under uncultured bacterium. Its description in RNAcentral is "partial 16S ribosomal RNA". It matches the Rfam family "Bacterial small subunit ribosomal RNA", at positions 524 to 776 of the family's 1533-position model. The record is from RNAcentral.